UGCAAGUCGAGCGGUAACAGGCGUAGCAAUACGUGCUGACGAGCGGCAAACGGGUGAGUAACGCUUCGGAAUCUGCCCAAUGGUGGGGAAUAACCAGCCGAAAGGUUGGCUAAUACCGCAUGAGCCCUUCGGGGGAAAGCGGGGGAUCGCAAGACCUCGCGCCGAUGGAUGAGCCGAAGCCGGAUUAGCUAGUUGGUAGGGUAACGGCCUACCAAGGCGACGAUCCGUAGCUGGUCUGAGAGGACGACCAGCCACACUGGGACUGAGACACGGCCCAGACUCCUACGGGAGGCAGCAGUGGGGAAUAUUGGACAAUGGGGGAAACCCUGAUCCAGCGACGCCGCGUGUGUGAAGAAGGCCUGCGGGUUGUAAAGCACUUUUAGUGGGGAUGAAAAGCUCAGGGCUAACACCUCUGGGUCUUGACCUAACCCACAGAAAAAGCACCGGCUAACUCUGUGCCAGCAGCCGCGGUAAUACAGAGGGUGCAAGCGUUAAUCGGAAUUACUGGGCGUAAAGCGUACGUAGACGGUUGGAUAAGUCGGAUGUGAAAGCCCCGGGCUCAACCUGGGAAUGGCAUUCGAGACUGUGCAGCUAGGGUGCGGAAGAGGGAAGCGGAAUUUCCGGUGUAGCGGUGAAAUGCGUAGAUAUCGGAAGGAACACCAGUGGCGAAAGCGGCUUCCUGGUCCAGCACCGACGUUCAGGUACGAAAGCAUGGGGAGCAAACAGGAUUAGAUACCCUGGUAGUCCAUGCCAUAAACGAUGAGGACUAGACGUUGAGGGGUAAGCCUCCCAGUGUCGUAGCUACGCGCUAGUCCUCCGCCUGGGGAGUACGGCCGCAAGGUUGAAACUCAAGGAAUUGACGGGGACCCGCACAAGCGGUGGAG
RNAcentral lists this ribosomal RNA (884 nucleotides) under uncultured soil bacterium. RNAcentral describes it as "bacterial SSU rRNA". It matches the Rfam family "Bacterial small subunit ribosomal RNA", at positions 56 to 937 of the family's 1533-position model. The record is from RNAcentral.